UAGCUAGUUGGUGAGGUAAAGGCUUACCAAGGCGACGAUCUGUAGCGGGUCUGAGAGGAUGAUCCGCCACACUGGAACUGAGACACGGUCCAGACUCCUACGGGAGGCAGCAGUGGGGAAUUUUGGACAAUGGGGGCAACCCUGAUCCAGCCAUGCCGCGUGAGUGAAGAAGGCCUUCGGGUUGUAAAGCUCUUUCGGCCGGGAAGAAAUCGCAUGGGCCAAUACCCUGUGUGGAUGACGGUACCGGAAUAAGAAGCACCGGCUAACUACGUGCCAGCAGCCGCGGUAAUACGUAGGGUGCGAGCGUUAAUCGGAAUUACUGGGCGUAAAGCGUGCGCAGGCGGUUUUGUAAGACAGGCGUGAAAUCCCCGGGCUUAACCUGGGAACUGCGUUUGUGACUGCAAGGCUAGAGUACGGCAGAGGGGGGUGGAAUUCCACGUGUAGCAGUGAAAUGCGUAGAGAUGUGGAGGAACACCAAUGGCGAAGGCAGCCCCCUGGGUCGAUACUGACGCUCAUGCACGAAAGCGUGGGUAGCAAACAGGAUUAGAUACCCUGGUAGUCCACGCCCUAAACUAUGUCAACUAGGUGUUGGGUGGGUAAAACCAUUUAGUACCGUAGCUAACGCGUGAAGUUGACCGCCUGGGGAGUACGGCCGCAAGGUUAAAACUCAAAGGAAUUGACGGGGACCCGCACAGGCGGUGGAUGAUGUGGAUUAAUUCGAUGCAACGCGAAAAACCUUACCUACCCUUGACAUGCCAGGAACUUGCCAGAGAUGGCUUGGUGCCCGAAAGGGAGCCUGGACACAGGUGCUGCAUGGCUGUCGUCAGCUCGUGUCGUGAGAUGUUGGGUUAAGUCCCGCAACGAGCGCAACCCUUGUCGUUAAUUGCCAUCAUUUGGUUGGGCACUUUAACGAGACUGCCGGUGACAAACCGGAGGAAGGUGGGGAUGACGUCAAGUCCUCAUGGCCCUUAUGGGUAGGGCUCCACACGUCAUACAAUGGUCGGUACAAAGGGUUGCCAAGCCGCGAGGCGGAGCCAAUCCCAGAAAGCCGAUCGUAGUCCGGAUUGCAGGCUGCAACUCGCCUGCAUGAAGUCGGAAUCGCUAGUAAUCGUGGAUCAGCAUGUCACGGUGAAUACGUUCCCGGGUCUUGUACACACCGCCCGUCACACCAUGGGAGCGGGUUCCGCCAGAAGUAGGUAGCCUAACCGCAAGGGGGGCGCUUACCACGGCGGGGUUCGUGACUGGGGUGAAGUCGGAACAAGGUAGCCGUAGGGGAACCUGCGGCUG
RNAcentral lists this ribosomal RNA (1287 nucleotides) under metagenome. RNAcentral describes it as "bacterial SSU rRNA". It matches the Rfam family "Bacterial small subunit ribosomal RNA", at positions 242 to 1520 of the family's 1533-position model. The record is from RNAcentral.